Molecule: long non-coding RNA, 1367 nt
Organism: Ornithodoros turicata
Lineage: Eukaryota; Metazoa; Arthropoda; Arachnida; Ixodida; Argasidae
Exons: 2
Source: RefSeq, a predicted model, not a curated record
GCCAUACCAGUCGGGGAGCAACUCCGAUUCACGAUUUUCCCGAUUCUAGAUGGCGCCAAGCUCGCCGAUCCUUAUCACGCCGUUCGCCUCCGACUCACGAAAUAAUCCCCAUUGUGCAUGGUUGACCUCGCAAGUUUAAGGCGGCCCGCACCCUCUGCGCUGUUUGUCGAGAGAUGGGAGAGAGUAAAAAGCCAGAAGGCUGUGCUGUUCGUGAAUGACAAAGGUCUGCAAAUAACCAGUGGGGUCUUUAGCUGAAAAAAAAAAGAAGCAAGAAACAAACAAACAAAAAAGGAGAGGACACUGAUUGCCUGCUCCAUAUGUUCGAGUCAAAAGUUACAGAAAAAGAGGUGCUAAGGACACGCUGCGAGCUUCGAACUCCCUUCGAAGAAACAUCUUUCGAACAAACGGCGUCGAUCAACCGGCUUGCGAUCAAACGGCUUUCGACCAAGCGGCGUUCGACCAAAUGGCGUUCGAUCAAAUGCUGUUAUGCUGUUUAUGAUGUUUCUUACUCAUGUUUGUACUGUUAUCAAUUACUUUUCUUCAAAUAACAGCUUAGGAUUUCGGAAUAUAAUUUCGGUUAUAAUGUGAUGAGGACGAUUCGAUGGACUGUGGACGGUGGACUGUCAACGGACGGUGAACGAACAAUAUUGGAUGAAAAUGAGCAAUAUAAUCUACAUAUAGCCGUCAGCCAAGGAAUAUUGGCCGCAAACUGGCAAUAUUGUUUACAUAUAGCCGUCGGUCAAACAAUAUUCCAUGAAAGUUGGAAAUAUGGUCUACAUAUUGCCAGCGACCGAACAAUAUUGGAUGAAAACGGGGAAUAUGGUCUACAUAUAGCCACCGACCAACGAAUAUUUGCUGAAAACUGGUAAUAUGGUCUACAUAUUGCCGUCGACCAAAUACGUAAUACUCGAUGCAACUGGGCAAUAUUACCUACAUACUCGUAUAGCCGUAGAACAAAUAAUAUUGGAUGAAAGUGCGCAAUAUGGUCUACAUAUAGCCGUCAACCAAGGAAUAUUGGCUCAAAAACUGAUAAUAUUGUUUACAUAUAUCCGUCGACAAAAUACUAUUCGAUGCAACUGGGCAAUAUGGUCUACAUAUAGCCGUAGAAGUAAUAAUAUUGAAUGAAAGUUCCCACCGGGGACGAUUUCUUCUGGGAUGAUUUCUCCGUAUCCCGGAAAUUACAGGAGCGCCGUUGUGAACAGCUGAGGAAACGGAUCAUAGCCGAUCAAGCGCUAUCACAUUACUUGUUUAAAUUGGGUGGUACUUGUUUAAAUUACUGUUCCUCUCUCGCAAAGUUUGCUGAGUACAGACAACGCGGUAAGAUUAGAAAGCGAUUCUCCGUCAACAAAUAAAUCUUGACUAUGCCA